CGUUUUUAGGACCGUUUAUGCCUUAAUAUACUACAAUGUUUUUUUUGACAUUUUAUGCCAUACUAUACUAUGACGUUUUUUGGCAUUUUUCUGCCAUACUAUAUGAAGAUGUUUUUUGGCAUUUUUAUGCUUUACUAUACUAUAUUGUUUGAUGCCUGACCAUACCAUGACGUUUUUAUGACCGUUUAUGCCUUAAUAUACUACAAUGUUUUUUUUGACGUUUUAUGCCAUACUAUACUAUGAUGUUUUUUGGCAUUUUACUGCUAUACUAUACAUAGAUGUUUUUUGGCAUUUUUAUGCCUUACUAUACUAUAUUGUUUGAUGCCUGACCAUACCAUGACGUUUUUAUAACCUUUCAUGCCUUAAUCUACUAUGAUGUAUUUUUGACGUUUUAUGCCAUACUAUACUAUGACGUUUUUUGGCAUUUUUCUGCUAUACUAUACGUAGAUGUUUUUUGGCAUUUUUAUGCCUUACUAUAGUAUGUUAUUUGAUACCUGACUAUACUAUGACGUUUUUAUGACCUUUAAUAUCUUAAUAUACUAUGAUGUUUUUUUUAUGUUUUAUGCCAUACUAUACUAUGACGCUUUUUUGGCACUUUUAUGCCUUACUAUACUAUGCAAUUUGAUGCCUGACCAUACUAUGACGUUUUUAGGACCGUUUAUGCCUUAAUAUACAACAAUGUUUUUUUUUACAUUUUAUGCCAUACUAUACUAUGACGUUUUUUGGCAUUUUUCUGCCAUACUAUAUGAAGAUGUUUUUUGGCAUUAUUAUGCUUUACUAUACUAUAUUGUUUGAUGCCUGACCAUACCAUGACGUUUUUAUGACCUUUCAUGCCUUAAUAUACUAUGAUGUAUUUUUUAUGUUUUAUGCCAUACUAUACUAUGACGCUUUUUGGCUUUUUUAUGCCUAAUAAUAUUAUUUCGUCUCAUGCCUUGCCAUGUUAUGAUGUUUUUAUGACCUUUUAUGCCUUAAUAUACUAUGACAUUUUUAUGCCUUAAUAUACUAUGACGUUUUUUUGACAUAUUUAUGCUUUACCUAUACCAUGACCUGGAGCCUUCCCCAGCAUCUUUUCGGGCGAGAGGCGGGGUACGCCCUGGACAGGUCGCCAGUCCAUCGCAGGGCAAACACAUAGAGACAGACAACCAUUCACACUCACAGCCACACCUAUGGUCAAUUUAGAGUAUCCAAUUAGCCUAGUCCCCAUUUUGCAUGUCUUUGGACUGUGGGAGGAAGCCGGAGUACCCGGAGAGAACCCACACUUGCACGGGGAGAACAUGCAAACUCCACACAGAAAGAUCCCACGGCUGAGCCGGGACUCGAACCCGGAACCUUCUUGCUGUGAGGCGACAGCGCUGACCACUGCACCACCGUGCAGCCCGCAUAAAAAUUCAUUGUAUAGUAUACUCAUCACCUGCAGUAUGUAUACCCUGGUCAUCCAUCUAUUCGUCGCCAGAUUGUUCCGCUCUUCACAGUGACUUCCUGAUUUGUGGGCUGCUGAUCCUGCCAUACUCCGCCGUUGUCACGCCACACCACCCACCUGCCUCUGGUCUCCAGGCAUCCCUUGUGUUCCAGAGUGUGUUUACUCACCUACCUCCGGCCUCAUGUUAUCUCCAGACACCUGGAUUCCCCGGACUCACUCGCCCUCCACAUUCACCAUCACCACUGCCUUGUCCCCAAUAAACUCCCUUACACUGUUA
Long non-coding RNA from Seriola aureovittata, 1697 nucleotides. RefSeq lists it as uncharacterized. The record is from RefSeq and is a predicted model, not a curated record. The transcript has 2 exons. NCBI's taxonomy places the organism in Eukaryota, Metazoa, Chordata, Actinopteri, Carangiformes, Carangidae.